Molecule: ribosomal RNA, 253 nt
Filed under: uncultured bacterium
Lineage: Bacteria
Description: partial 16S ribosomal RNA
Rfam family: Bacterial small subunit ribosomal RNA
Source: RNAcentral
UCCGAAAGGGGCUAGCGUUGUUCGGAUUUACUGGGCGUAAAGCGCACGUAGGCGGUCUUGUAAGGUGGGGGUGAAAUCCCCGGGCUCAACCCGGGAACUGCCUUCAUGACUGCAAAGCUAGAGGAUGCGAGAGGUUGGCGGAAUUCCGAGUGUAGAGGUGAAAUUCGUAGAUAUUCGGAAGAACACCAGUGGCGAAGGCGGCCAACUGGCGCAUUUCUGACGCUGAGGUGCGAAAGCGUGGGGAGAAAACAGG